GUCCAUGCUGUAAACUAUGAGAACUUGCUGUUGGAUGCAUAAAGGCAUUUAGUAGCGAAGCUAACGCGUUAAGUUCUCCGCCUGGGGAGUAACGGCCGCAAGGCUAAAAACUCAAAGGAAUUGACGGGGGCCCCGCACAAGCGGUGGAGCAUGUGGUUUAAUUCGAUGCAACGCGAAGAACCUUACCUACUCUUGAAUCCACGGAAUCCUGCAGAGAUGCGGGAGUGCCUUCGGGAACCGUGAGACAGGUGCUGCAUGGCUGUCGU
Molecule: ribosomal RNA, 266 nt
Filed under: uncultured bacterium
Lineage: Bacteria
Description: partial 16S ribosomal RNA
Rfam family: Bacterial small subunit ribosomal RNA
Source: RNAcentral